UACGAAGGGGGCUAGCGUUGCUCGGAAUGACUGGGCGUAAAGGGCGCGUAGGCGGCGGACAUAGUCAGGCGUGAAAUUCCUGGGCUUAACCUGGGGGCUGCGCUUGAUACGUGUUUGCUAGAGUGGGGAAGAGGGUCGUGGAAUUCCCAGUGUAGAGGUGAAAUUCGUAGAUAUUGGGAAGAACACCGGUGGCGAAGGCGGCGACCUGGUCCUUGACUGACGCUGAGGCGCGAAAGCGUGGGGAGCAAACAGG
Molecule: ribosomal RNA, 253 nt
Filed under: uncultured prokaryote
Description: partial 16S ribosomal RNA
Rfam family: Bacterial small subunit ribosomal RNA
Source: RNAcentral